This is a non-coding RNA of Picea glauca (white spruce), 110 nucleotides long. Lineage: Eukaryota; Viridiplantae; Streptophyta; Pinopsida; Pinales; Pinaceae. The record is from Rfam.
AGAGUGUUACUCAGCCAAGAAUGACUUGCCCGCAUACUGUUGUGGAUUAUGGUUCCACAUACACAUUGCAGUUUUGUGGGUAGGUUGUUCUUGGCAAAGCAUCGCUCUCU